CUUGCUCCUUUGACGUUAGCGGCGGACGGGUGAGUAACACGUGGGUAACCUACCUAUAAGACUGGGAUAACUUCGGGAAACCGGAGCUAAUACCGGAUAACAUUUGGAACCGCAUGGUUCUAAAGUGAAAGAUGGUUUUGCUAUCACUUAUAGAUGGACCCGCGCCGUAUUAGCUAGUUGGUAAGGUAACGGCUUACCAAGGCGACGAUACGUAGCCGACCUGAGAGGGUGAUCGGCCACACUGGAACUGAGACACGGUCCAGACUCCUACGGGAGGCAGCAGUAGGGAAUCUUCCGCAAUGGGCGAAAGCCUGACGGAGCAACGCCGCGUGAGUGAUGAAGGGUUUCGGCUCGUAAAACUCUGUUAUUAGGGAAGAACAAAUGUGUAAGUAACUGUGCACGUCUUGACGGUACCUAAUCAGAAAGCCACGGCUAACUACGUGCCAGCAGCCGCGGUAAUACGUAGGUGGCAAGCGUUAUCCGGAAUUAUUGGGCGUAAAGCGCGCGUAGGCGGUUUCUUAAGUCUGAUGUGAAAGCCCAC
Molecule: ribosomal RNA, 541 nt
Filed under: Staphylococcus saprophyticus
Lineage: Bacteria; Bacillati; Bacillota; Bacilli; Caryophanales; Staphylococcaceae
Description: bacterial SSU rRNA
Rfam family: Bacterial small subunit ribosomal RNA
Source: RNAcentral